This 484-nucleotide ribosomal RNA is filed under the name uncultured bacterium. RNAcentral's name for it is "partial 16S ribosomal RNA". It matches the Rfam family "Bacterial small subunit ribosomal RNA", at positions 28 to 523 of the family's 1533-position model. The record is from RNAcentral.
GACGAACGCUGGCGGCGUGCUUAACACAUGCAAGUCGAACGAUGAAGCCGGAGCUUGCUCUGGUGAAUUAGUGGCGAACGGGUGAGUAACACAUGAGUAACCUGCCCUUGACUCUGGGAUAACUGCGGGAAACUGUAGCUAAUACCGGAUACGACCCUCGGAGGCAUCUCCUGGGGUUGGAAAGAAUUUCGGUCAAGGAUGGACUCGCGGCCUAUCAGCUAGUUGGGGAGGUAAAGGCUCACCAAGGCGACGACGGGUAGCCGGCCUGAGAGGGUGACCGGCCACACUGGGACUGAGACACGGCCCAGACUCCUACGGGAGGCAGCAGUGGGGAAUAUUGCACAAUGGGCGCAAGCCUGAUGCAGCAACGCCGCGUGAGGGAUGACGGCCUUCGGGUUGUAAACCUCUUUUAGCAGGGAAGAAGCGAAAGUGACGGUACCUGCAGAAAAAGCACCGGCUAACUACGUGCCAGCCGCCGCCGUAA